GACGAACGCUGGCGGCGUGCCUAACACAUGCAAGUCGAACGAAGUUUCUCUGGUGCUUUCACUAGAAGAGCUUCGCGGGGCACGGGUGUGUAACACGUAAAGUACCCUCCUCAUUGAUUGGGGAUACCCUUGGGAACGAUAGCCUAUUACGGAUAACUGUCUUUCUCUCAUAAGAGAUGUUUAUAAGUUAGUUAUGCUAACACUAUGAGGUGGCCUGGCGGGGUGUUUGCUAGUUGGUGGGGGAAAGGCCCCCCAAGGCGACGAUGGAUAGCCGACCUGAGAGGGUGAUCGGCCACACUGGGACUGAGAGACGGCCCAGACUCCUACGGGAGGCAGCAGUAGGGAAUAUUCGGCAAUGGGCGAAAGCCUGACGGAGCCACGCCGCGUGAGUGAAGAAGGAUUUCGGUUCGUAAAGCUCUGUUGUUAGGGAAGAAAGGAUGCGUGGUAAGUAUACGUGUAAGUGACGGUACCCAACCAAAAAGCCACGGCUAACUACGUG
Molecule: ribosomal RNA, 499 nt
Filed under: uncultured bacterium
Lineage: Bacteria
Description: partial 16S ribosomal RNA
Rfam family: Bacterial small subunit ribosomal RNA
Source: RNAcentral